This 219-nucleotide unclassified non-coding RNA is filed under the name Hevea brasiliensis (rubber tree). The record is from RNAcentral. Lineage: Eukaryota; Viridiplantae; Streptophyta; Magnoliopsida; Malpighiales; Euphorbiaceae.
GCCCAACAGGCUUCCAACAUUGAAGAUCUGAGUGAAGUCAUCCGGACAUCACUAUCAGUCAUGUCUAAAAUAUGGUCCGAUGCUAUGCAUACAUUUCACGAGAAGUUCAAUGCUGUAUCCACAUUGAUCGCUGAUCAUGGACUUGACUCUACUCCUCAGGAUGAGUUUCUAAGCCUUUUAGGUGGCGCCAGAGCCAGUCCUCCGCUUCAUCAGUUUUUA